AUAAUUUUUAUCUUACUUUAAAUAAUUUAAUUUUUAUUGAGAAAAAUCUUUUUAUUUAGUAUAUUAAAGAAAAAUAUUUAUAGUUAUAGUAAAUUAGUACUGUUAAGGAAUGAUGAAAUAAUUUAAAAUUUAAUUUUAAUUAAGUAUAUUUUAUUUAUAGUACCUUUUGUAUCAGGGUUAAUCUAAUAUAUUAACAUAUUUUUUGUUCUCGAUUUCAAAGGAGCUAACUUAAUAAUUUAGUUACUGUAUCAUAAUUAUUAAUAAUAUAAGUUAGGGGAGAAAUUUUAUUCGGCUUUGAAGGUAUCUAGUUUUUUAAGAAAUAAAUUCAAUUUAAACUUAAUACUUAGGUUUUAUAUUAUAAUAUAAACUAUAUGUUAAGUGAAAAAUUAUAGGGGACAAGCUCUAUACUUUUCUAUAAAUUUUUUAUUAAUAAAUUUCUGUAGGUUUAAAAUUAUCCAUCAUUAUAAAGUGUGUUAUAAUUUAUAUUUUUUAUUAAUUGAUUUUAUAAAAUUUUAGUAUAUUAUUAAAAUAUCAAAAUUAAUUUUAUAUUUUGGGAAAUAAUGAUUAAAUUAGUAUAAUGAAGUGUUUAUUAUGUUCUUAUGGUUAUGAUAAAAUAAGGAACUCGGCAAAUUUAGUUCUCGCCUGUUUAACAAAAACAUGUCCUUUUGAAUUUAAUUGAAGGUCUGACCUGCCCAGUGAUUAAUUUAACGGCCGCGGUAUACUGACCGUGCAAAGGUAGCAUAAUCAUUAGUCUUUUAAUAGAGGGCUGGAAUGAAAGGUUUAACGAGGAACUGACUGUCUCAUUUUAUUUGUUUUAAAAUUUAAUUUUUUAGUUAAAAAGCUAAAAUUUCAUUGGAAGACGAGAAGACCCUAUAGAUCUUUAUAGAAAUAUAUUUAAUUAUUAUUAUAUAAAUAUAAUUAUUUAUUUUUCUAUUUUGUUGGGGUGACAAAAAUAUAAAUAUAACUUUUUUAUUUAUUUAACAUUGAUUUAUGAAUAUAUGAUCCAUUAUUAGUGAUUAUUAGAUUAAGUUACCUUAGGGAUAACAGCGUAAUCCUCCUCCAGAGUUCAUAUUUACAGGAUGGGCUUGCGACCUCGAUGUUGGAUUAAGAUAAUAAUCAGGUGUAGCCGCUUGAUAUAUAGGUCUGUUCGACCUUUAAACCUUUAAAAA
Molecule: ribosomal RNA, 1169 nt
Filed under: Trithemis arteriosa (red-veined dropwing)
Lineage: Eukaryota; Metazoa; Arthropoda; Insecta; Odonata; Libellulidae
Description: partial 16S ribosomal RNA
Source: RNAcentral